ACUACCCUGCCGAGCUCGUGCUUGGAUAGAUGCGAAACUUUAGCCAACAAAUCCGACAAAGGGAGCCUAACUCUCUUACAUCCUUGGAUAUAAGGGGAGGGCACCCACCUAUACAAAAAAGGACCUAAGUUUUGCGCUUUCACACGGCUCAUGGCAGGGUUUUU
Molecule: non-coding RNA, 164 nt
Filed under: Omnitrophica bacterium RBG_13_46_9
Lineage: Bacteria; Pseudomonadati; Candidatus Omnitrophota
Description: 6S RNA
Rfam family: 6S / SsrS RNA
About the family: E. coli 6S RNA was the first non coding RNA to be sequenced, but its function was unknown until recently.
Source: RNAcentral